Tachyglossus aculeatus (Australian echidna) is the source of this 483-nucleotide long non-coding RNA. RefSeq lists it as uncharacterized. The record is from RefSeq and is a predicted model, not a curated record. NCBI's taxonomy places the organism in Eukaryota, Metazoa, Chordata, Mammalia, Monotremata, Tachyglossidae. The transcript has 4 exons.
AGAUCUGCAGUCAGAGGGAUCAGAUGAUGACUCUUCUUAUGGGGAAGAUGCUGUUGUCAAAACCAAUCUUGUGAAGGAUUCCAGGGAUUUAAGAGGAAGAGUCCAGAACCAUGCAGUAUACCUGAAAAAAUCCGAAAGAAUGGAACAUAUGACAAGUUACUCAGGCUUACACUAAUGAACUGGUGGAACUUCAGAAGAGAUUGAUGGCACUUCGGGAACACAACGUACUUCAGCAGAUUGUUAAUCUAAUUGAAGAAACUGGCCAUUUUAAUGUGACCAACACAACUUUCUACUUUGAUCUUUUUUCUCUGGAUGAGAUGACCACCCGAAAGUUGCAGAGCUAUCUGGAUACAGUAGCAAUAUGACACCUCAAUGUAAAAGUGGGUUGUCUCUAAAAUUAAAAAUAAAAUUUCCCAAAAUACUGAACCAAAUUCCAAAAAGUUCCUUUCAAGUUUGCUUUUCCUGGAACACUGCACUGCCAUA